This 255-nucleotide ribosomal RNA is filed under the name uncultured bacterium. RNAcentral's name for it is "partial 16S ribosomal RNA". It matches the Rfam family "Bacterial small subunit ribosomal RNA", at positions 524 to 776 of the family's 1533-position model. The record is from RNAcentral.
UACGGAGGGGGCUAGGCGUUGUUCGGAAUUACUGGGCGUAAAGCGCAACGUAGGCGGCUUUGUAAGUUAGAGGUGAAAGCCCAGGGCUUAACCCUGGAAUUGCCUUUAAGACUGCAUCGCUAGAAUUGUGGAGAGGUAAGUGGAAUUCCGAGUGUAGAGGUGAAAUUCGUAGAUAUUCGGAAGAACACCAGUGGCGAAGGCGACUUACUGGACACAUAUUGACGCUGAGGUGCGAAAGCGUGGGGAGCAAACAGG